Long non-coding RNA from Sphaerodactylus townsendi, 793 nucleotides. RefSeq lists it as uncharacterized. Lineage: Eukaryota; Metazoa; Chordata; Lepidosauria; Squamata; Sphaerodactylidae. The record is from RefSeq and is a predicted model, not a curated record. The transcript has 2 exons.
ACUCACGGGCGCCUGGACGGCCUCUGGUUGGCUCUUGAGCGCCUCCAAUCCCAACCGCCUGUCCUAAUUUCCUGAUCCACGCAACCUGCAGCCGCAGCUGUGCGCGCUCCACACGGCCAGCGGGGCCAGGCAGGCAGGCAGGCAGGCAGGCAGGCGUUCAUUCGGCCAGCCGCGCCGCCACCGCCGUCCACGCCCAGUCGGUGCUGAUGAGGCGCACAGGUGGACCGCCGCCUCCUCCUCCGCCCAGCUGAUUAGGAGCCCCCCGGAGACCGGCUCACGACGUGAAAUGAUCCUGAAGAUGGCAGAAGAUGUGGAGGUUUCUGAGAAAGAAGAUGAAUCAAUUGGGUGGAGGUAAUGUUCUGGAAACUGACAAAAGGGAAAAGAUGUUGCAUCAUCUGGAGUGUACAUCUUCAUCAUCUUUGCUGUCCUGACAUAUUAUUUACAUCCAGCUGCAAAAAGAUAUAUUACCUCAAGUGAUGGGAAGCUCUUUAAAGAAUGUUGGUUACCAACACCAGUUUGAUGUAAACAGAUAAAAAUUGUAAUGAUUACUAUAGAUGUUUCCCUCUGCAUGAUAAAGAUUUGGUUUACAAUUCAAACUGCCAAGGAAAAUUAAGAGGUAGAUCCAGGACACCUUUUGGAAUACAAACUAUAUACAGAAACAGUUGCUAUUAGCAAUCUGGUAUUUUCUUUAUUUACAAGUAACUUUUCGUAUGAUCAGUAUUCAGAUAAAUUAUUGGAUGAACUAUUGAGUCACUGUACAAAUCUUGUAGCCAUUAAACAUUUUUCAUGCCCA